RNAcentral lists this ribosomal RNA (465 nucleotides) under Triticum aestivum (bread wheat). RNAcentral describes it as "partial small subunit ribosomal RNA". The record is from RNAcentral. Lineage: Eukaryota; Viridiplantae; Streptophyta; Magnoliopsida; Poales; Poaceae.
AUGUCUCGCCCGCGCCCUGCACUGGCCUCGUCCGCCGACGCCCACGUCUCCUCGCUCCUCCUGCUCCUGCCUCCCCUCACCGUCUCCCCGCUCCGGCUCUCCCUCCCCGCGCUUUCCUUCCUAUGCUCACGCCGUCCGUCUCGCCAUCUUCCCCGCACGCCGCAACACCCCGAACCAAUAUAUGCGGCUUCCCGCAUAUCGUUCCCCCUUGUCAAGAUUCGUCAGCUCACCCUUGCCCGUGUCCUGUUCGAUGAAAUGCCGCAGUCUGGUGUUCGCCUGGGUGAGCAUGUUUACACGGCUGGGAAUCGGGCUACAGCGAGGCAGGGAAUCUCACGGCACGGAGAGGCUCGUGGCGAGGAUUGGGGGUCAAGGUCAGCAUGGUGUCGUAUGUACUGCUGUAUGGAUUCAGAUAAGGUCAGCAUGGUGUCGUAUGUAUCAACAUUCAACUUUGCAAAAGGUGGAUGA